This 533-nucleotide ribosomal RNA is filed under the name uncultured bacterium. RNAcentral's name for it is "bacterial SSU rRNA". It matches the Rfam family "Bacterial small subunit ribosomal RNA", at positions 777 to 1307 of the family's 1533-position model. The record is from RNAcentral.
AAUAGAUACCCCGGUAGUCCACGCCGUAAACGUUGGGCGCUAGAUGUGGGGACCUUUCCACGGUUUCCGUGUCGUAGCUAACGCAUUAAGCGCCCCGCCUGGGGAGUACGGCCGCAAGGCUAAAACUCAAAGGAAUUGACGGGGGCCCGCACAAGCGGCGGAGCAUGCGGAUUAAUUCGAUGCAACGCGAAGAACCUUACCAAGGCUUGACAUACACGAGAACGGGCCAGAAAUGGUCAACUCUUUGGACACUCGUGAACAGGUGGUGCAUGGUUGUCGUCAGCUCGUGUCGUGAGAUGUUGGGUUAAGUCCCGCAACGAGCGCAACCCUCGUCGCAUGUUGCCAGCACGUUAUGGUGGGGACUCAUGUGAGACUGCCGGGGUCAACGUCGGAGGAAGGUGAGGAUGACGUCAAAUCAUCAUGCCCCUUAUGUCUUGGGCUACACGCACGCUACAAUGGCCGGGACAAUGGGCAGCCAAACCGCAAGGUGGAGCGAAUCCCACAAACCCGGUCUCAGUUCAGAUCGCGGGCUG